RNAcentral lists this ribosomal RNA (377 nucleotides) under uncultured bacterium. RNAcentral describes it as "bacterial SSU rRNA". It matches the Rfam family "Bacterial small subunit ribosomal RNA", at positions 521 to 896 of the family's 1533-position model. The record is from RNAcentral.
UAAUACAGAGGGUGCGAGCGUUGUCCGGAAUUACUGGGCGUAAAGGGCGCGUAGGCGGCCCGAUAAGUAGGAGGUGAAAUUCCGUGGCUUAACCACGGAACUGCCUUCUAGACUGUCAGGCUUGAGCACGGUAGAGGCAGAUGGAAUUCCCGGUGUAGCGGUGGAAUGCGUAGAGAUCGGGAAGAACACCAGUGGCGAAGGCGGUCUGCUGGGCCGUUGCUGACGCUGAUGCGCGACAGCGUGGGGAGCAAACAGGAUUAGAUACCCUGGUAGUCCACGCCGUAAACGAUGGGCACUAGGCGUCGGGGGGAGCGACCCUCCCGGUGCCGUAGCUAACGCUCUAAGUGCCCCGCCUGGGGAGUACGGCCGCAAGGCUG